CUAUCCUUCCAGCAUUCAGGUGUUCGCAAGAACACAAGAGGGAACCCCGUGCGAUUCGGGGACGGGCCCGCCGCUGUGACCGGGGACGAACGCUGCACCUUAAGUCACUGACCUUGAGAAAAGGUCGGGAAGACGCAGUCAGUAGGAUGAGCCGGAAGCCAGAAGACCUGCCUGAAUGGAUGUUUGGAG
Molecule: non-coding RNA, 189 nt
Filed under: Desulfobulbus propionicus
Lineage: Bacteria; Pseudomonadati; Thermodesulfobacteriota; Desulfobulbia; Desulfobulbales; Desulfobulbaceae
Also listed under: 1 other name
Source: RNAcentral